UACGUUCCCGGGUCUUGUACACACCACCCGUCACACCAUGGGAGCGGGUUUUACCAGAAGUAGGUAGCUUAACCGCAAGGGGGGCGCUUACCACGGUAGGAUUCGUGACUGGGGUG
Molecule: ribosomal RNA, 116 nt
Filed under: uncultured bacterium
Lineage: Bacteria
Description: partial 16S ribosomal RNA
Rfam family: Bacterial small subunit ribosomal RNA
Source: RNAcentral